Conger conger (European conger) is the source of this 166-nucleotide long non-coding RNA. RefSeq lists it as uncharacterized. Lineage: Eukaryota; Metazoa; Chordata; Actinopteri; Anguilliformes; Congridae. The transcript is spliced from 3 exons. The record is from RefSeq and is a predicted model, not a curated record.
CAUUACCGAAGGAAACUCUGGUCUUAUCACUCUCGUGAUUAUUUCUCCCCUUAUUCAGAACGCUGCGCCAACAUUUGAUCUUGGCUGAGCCAGGACAUCCAGACAGUGCGUACUCCUCCAGCCUGCCUUGGGCCUAGAAGUUGCUUUGGAGCCACCUGGAGCCAUU